GUGGGGAAUCUUGCGCAAUGGGCGAAAGCCUGACGCAGCGACGCCGCGUGGGGGAUGAAGGCCUUCGGGUUGUAAACCCCUUUCGGCAGGGACGAAGCUAACGUGACGGUACCUGCAGAAGAAGUCCCGGCUAACUACGUGCCAGCAGCCGCGGUAAGACGUAGGGGACGAGCGUUGUCCGGAUUUAUUGGGCGUAAAGCGCGCGUAGGCGGCUCGGACAGUCGGAUGUGAAAAUCCGGGGCUCAACCCCGGACCUGCAUCCGAUACUUCCGGGCUAGAGGUAGGUAGGGGAGAUCGGAAUUCCUGGUGUAGCGGUGAAAUGCGCAGAUAUCAGGAGGAACACCGGUGGCGAAGGCGGAUCUCUGGGCCUUACCUGACGCUGAGGCGCGAAAGCUAGGGGAGCGAACAGGAUUAGAUACCCUGGUAGUCC
This 430-nucleotide ribosomal RNA is filed under the name uncultured bacterium. RNAcentral's name for it is "bacterial SSU rRNA". It matches the Rfam family "Bacterial small subunit ribosomal RNA", at positions 354 to 796 of the family's 1533-position model. The record is from RNAcentral.